UAAUGAUAUAGGAUCUCCGUCCUAUUUUGUUGGUUUCUAGGACGAGGAUAAUGAUUAAUAGGGAUAAUUGGGGGCAUUCAUAUUAAGACGUCAGAGGUGGAAUUCUUGGAUUGUCUUACGACGAACUACUGCGAAAAGCAUUUGCCAAGGAUGUUUUCAUUGAUCAAGAACGAAAGUAAGGGGAUCGAAGACGAUUAGAUACCGUCGUAGUCUUUACCAUAAACUAUGCCAACUAGAGAUUGGAGGUCGUUCUUUGUAUGACUCCUUCAGCACCUUAUGAGAAAUCAAAGUUUUUGGGUUCCGGGGGGAGUAUGGUCGCAAGGCUGGAACUUAAAGGAAUUGACGGAAGGGCACCACCAGGAGUGGAGCCUGCGGCUUAAUUUGACUCAACACGGGAAAACUCACCAGGUCCAGACAUAGUAAGGAUUGACAGAUUGGUAGCUCUUUCUUGAUUCUA
RNAcentral lists this ribosomal RNA (457 nucleotides) under uncultured Syndiniales. RNAcentral describes it as "SSU rRNA". It matches the Rfam family "Eukaryotic small subunit ribosomal RNA", at positions 815 to 1270 of the family's 1831-position model. Lineage: Eukaryota; Dinophyceae; Syndiniales. The record is from RNAcentral.